GUCAGAAUAGCCGUGCGGUCUAACGCGCCAGAUUUAAGCUGUGGUUCUCGAAAGAGAGUGUGGGUUCGAAUCCCUCUUCUGACA
Molecule: non-coding RNA, 84 nt
Organism: Araneus ventricosus
Lineage: Eukaryota; Metazoa; Arthropoda; Arachnida; Araneae; Araneidae
Source: the annotation of a GenBank genome assembly